Molecule: ribosomal RNA, 786 nt
Filed under: uncultured bacterium
Lineage: Bacteria
Description: bacterial SSU rRNA
Rfam family: Bacterial small subunit ribosomal RNA
Source: RNAcentral
CGCUGGCGGCGGCCUACACAUGCAAGUCGAGCGGUAGAGAGAAGCUUGCUUCUCUUGAGAGCGGCGGACGGGUGAGUAAUACCUGGGAAUCUGCCUGAUAGUGGGGGAUAACGUUCGGAAACGGACGCUAAUACCGCAUACGUCCUACGGGAGAAAGCAGGGGAUCUUCGGACCUUGCGCUAUCAGAUGAGCCCAGGUCGGAUUAGCUUGUUGGUGAGGUAACGGCUCACCAAGGCGACGAUCCGUAACUGGUCUGAGAGGAUGAUCAGUCACACUGGAACUGAGACACGGUCCAGACUCCUACGGGAGGCAGCAGUGGGGAAUAUUGGACAAUGGGCGAAAGCCUGAUCCAGCCAUGCCGCGUGUGUGAAGAAGGUCUUCGGAUUGUAAAGCACUUUAAGUUGGGAGGAAGGGUUGUAGUUUAAUACGCUGCAAUCUUGACGUUACCGACAGAAUAAGCACCGGCUAACUCUGUGCCAGCAGCCGCGGUAAUACAGAGGGUGCAAGCGUUAAUCGGAAUUACUGGGCGUAAAGCGCGCGUAGGUGGCUAAGUAAGAUGGGUGUGAAAUCCCCGGGCUCAACCUGGGAACUGCAUCCAUAACUGCUUAGCUAGAGUACGGUAGAGGGUAGUGGAAUUUCCUGUGUAGCGGUGAAAUGCGUAGAUAUAGGAAGGAACACCCAGUGGCGAAGGCGACUACCUGGGACUGAUACUGGACACUGAGGUGCGAAAGCGUGGGGAGCAAACAGGAUUAGAUACCCUGGUAGUCCACGCCGUAAACGAUGUCA